GGCUCCCGCGCGCCACCCCGAGGGGACGGGCGCCACCUCCUGCUACGCGGCACCCGGUCCCGUCAACCGCCCAACGGCUGAGGAGUGCGGCAGCGCGCCAGAGACUGGCGGGCAGCUCCGCCCGCGGCCGGGAUGCACUAGGCAAAGCCAGCUGGGCUCCUGAGUCCGGUGGGUACUUGGAGAACUUACUACGUCUAGCUGGAGGAUUGUAAAUGCACCAAUCAGCAUGCUGUGUCUAGCUCAAGAACUCAAGCUCCAUGAGGAGAUGUUUCAUUGUCGAGAGCAGUCAUGAUGGCCUGCACUCCACACAAUGCAACAGAGUGAAAGAGCAGGUUCUGCUUCUUUGGUGUAGUCCUGAAGCUUCCUAAGAAACUUCACAUCAGGUGAUGGAUAGGAGCAACCCUGUAAAACCAGCCUUAGACUAUUUUUCAAACAGGCUGGUGAAUUACCAGAUCUCCGUCAAGUGCAGUAACCAGUUCAAGUUGGAAGUGUGUCUUUUGAAUGCAGAAAACAAAGUCGUGGACAACCAGGCUGGGACCCAGGGCCAGCUGAAGGUGCUGGGUGCCAACCUCUGGUGGCCGUACCUGAUGCACGAACACCCCGCCUCCCUGUACUCGUGGGAGGAUGGUGAUUGCUCACACCAAAGCCUUGGACCCCUCCCAGCCUGUGACCUUUGUGACCAACUCCACCUACGCAGCAGACAAGGGGGCUCUGUAUGUGGAUGUGAUCCGUGUGAACAGCUACUACUCUUGGUAUCGCAACUACGGGCACCUGGAGUUGAUUCAGCUGCAGCUGGCCGCCCAGUUUGAGAAUUGGUGUAAGACAUCACAAUCCCAUUAUUCAGAGCGCGUAUGGAGUGGAAACGCUUGUAAGGCUUCACCAGGAUCCACCUCUGAUGUUCAGUGAAGAGGACCGGAAAAGUCUGCUAGAGCAGUACCAUCUGGGUCUGGAUCAAAAACGCAGAAAAUACGUGGUUGGAGAGCUCAUCUGGAAUUUUGCCGAUUUCAUGACUAACCAGUCCAAGGAUGAAGGAAAAACUGGACCUCAUUAUGGAUUUACUUUUGGGAUACACUCAUUAUUCCAGAGGAGGGUAAAAGGCUGAGAAGCUUAAGGUGUCAGUUUCUUGGUCGGGAAUGAAAAUAGUGCCAACCUGUGAUACCUUCACUCUAAUUUUACUUUCUGAGGAAGUUUUCUGUAAUAGUUAUUUGGUGAUAAUUAUUAAUACUGGUGAGAAAAUCAAUGUAAAAGAGGAGAAAUAACCCACACAACCACAUACAACUAGGAAAUGAUAGAUGGAUCUGAAAAAAAGGAUAUGCACUCUUAACAAGUUCAACACCCAAGUACUAUUGCAAGUACCAGCUGUAUUUCAUGGAAAAAAAAAAAAGAAUAACUCAAAAGGCAGAACGAAGAGCCUAGAGGUCAGAGAUGAGAGGCAUGAAUAAUUAUUCACAGGCGUUGAAUAUAAUCAAAUGACUUGCAACAUUUACCACUGGGAUUUUAAAAUGUGGUGGACCAAUCAUUCUUUUAGUCUGUGCAUUUUCCCAUUUUUUUCAACAGGAAUGUCUAGAGACAUUAUUCCUGUUUUGCCACUGUAUUUUUGGUGAAUGUGUAGUAAGUAACUGGCCUCUUUAGUAUCACAAAGCUGGAUGAAGAAAAUGUGGUACAUAUACACCAUGAAAUACUAUGCCGCCACAAAAAGGAAAUGAGAUCAUGUCCUCUGCAGGGACAUGGAUGAAGCUGGAAGCCAUUAUCCUUAGCAAAGUAACGCAGGAACAGAAAACCAAACACCACAUGUUGUCUCUUAGAAGUGGGAGCUGAACGUAUAGACAAAAUGACCUACGAAUCAAGCAUUUUGUUCCACGGUCUCUACUGUUAGCUGUAUGUCUCAGAAACAGCUUCUUUCUCAAGAGAGAACAAGAGGGAUAAUGCUGGAUCUAAAGGCAUCAUCUGAAGAAGACAAAGAUAUCAACAAUCGCAACUAUUUGGCUUUCUGUCCAUCACUGAGACUUUUCAUAAUCUUCCCUUCAUAAAUAGGAUCUCUUGAUCAGAACAGAAAAGUUGAGUCUUAAAUUUCCUGUAUUUAUUUCUGACUGAUACUGAGGGAAGUGCAAAUUUGGUUGCUAUGAUUAAACUCCUUGAUUGUUCUUAAUGGGACUCUUUUAAUAAGUCAAACAUUUUUGCCAUCUAAGUAUAUUGAUGAGCGCCACUUUAUCUCAAAUGUUUACACAUACUAGGGAAAAGCAUCUGCAGUUUCUGAACUCUUUGUGAAUCAGUAUCACUUUUUCAUGUUACUUCAGAGAUCAAUAUUCAGUGCAUUGGUUUUAUUUACCAUCUUUUCUCCCAGUUGAUCUUGUAAUCAUCAGAAAGGGAAAAAAAAUCUCCU
RNA transcript from Homo sapiens (human), 2383 nucleotides. It is a transcript of the gene named GUSB pseudogene 16, with no coding region annotated. The transcript is spliced from 11 exons. The record is from RefSeq and is marked validated. NCBI's taxonomy places the organism in Eukaryota, Metazoa, Chordata, Mammalia, Primates, Hominidae.